UUCCAUCAACGGUCCAGGAGGACUUCAAGGACCACGUCGCAUUCCACCACCAAAGCCACCUCGAUCCAACGGUCCGUUGGACCACCACGGUCUGUUGAAGAAGCGAAGCAGGAAGGAUUUUCUUCUGCAAAUGAUGACGAUGGAAUUGGGCCCAAGCCUACCAGCAAUACUGACAUACAAUCAUCUGCAGGUACAAGUGACAGAGGUGACACUCUUCAGGCAUCUGAGAAAAUUACACUUCAUGACACCACCCUGGAUCGCACAUGUACUUUAGGAUAUACACUGGGCAGGACUUCAUUGAGCAUAUCCAAUGAUGCUGGCCUAAAGGCUCAGUCAUCUAACUUUCCUCGAUGGAUGUUCCGUGUCAGACAAUGAGCUCAGUCAUUCCCCAGCAACCCUGGGGCUUUCUCCAGGAUUUGAGAAGACCGAGGGUCACAUAUCUGAUUGAAAUGCACAUGAGUAGUUGCAAAGACUAUUAAAGAUGGGAGAAAGCAGUGUGAAACAAUCUGGAAGCUCUUUUUUUUUUUUAAAGCGUCUGCCAGUGAUAAGAAAUGCAAAAGAGGAUGUGAAGUGGAUUCCACCUAUCUAGAAACUUUCUUUUGAGAAUGAACUUGAAUUAGUUUGGAGCUGAGGAAGUAAAAGACAAGACAUCAUCAGGAAUGUUGGAAGACAGCCCCUCUUCAUUUUACUGAGGAAUGAGAACAAGUGUCCCUUUUAACAGUCACUUGGUGUCCUUUUUUUCCAACACCCAUUUAUUUGUUGGCUCUUGGAGCUGUAAAAUAUACAGAAUAAAGAAAAAAUAUUAAGAGCUGCAAAAGAAAAAGGCCAAGUCACA
Myodes glareolus (Bank vole) is the source of this 835-nucleotide non-coding RNA. The record is from RefSeq and is a predicted model, not a curated record. Lineage: Eukaryota; Metazoa; Chordata; Mammalia; Rodentia; Cricetidae.